RNAcentral lists this ribosomal RNA (503 nucleotides) under uncultured bacterium. Its description in RNAcentral is "partial 16S ribosomal RNA". It matches the Rfam family "Bacterial small subunit ribosomal RNA", at positions 29 to 523 of the family's 1533-position model. The record is from RNAcentral.
AACGAACGCUGGCGGCGUGCCUAACACAUGCAAGUCGAACGAGAAAACCCUUCGGGGUGAGUAAAGUGGCGCACGGGUGAGUAACACGUGGGUAACCUUCCCUAAAGACUGGGACAACCUUCCGAAAGGAGGGCUAAUACUAGAUAAGACCACAGGGUCUGCGGACCUAGGGGUAAAAGAUGCAGCAAUGUAUCGCUAUAGGAUGGGCCCGCGUCGCAUUAGCUAGUUGGUGGGGUAAAAGCCUACCAAGGCUACGAUGCGUAGCUGGUCUGAGAGGACGGCCAGCCACACUGGAACUGAGACACGGUCCAGACUCCUACGGGAGGCAGCAGUGGGGAAUAUUGGACAAUGGGGGAAACCCUGAUCCAGCGACGCCGCGUGGGUGAUGAAGGCCUUCGGGUCGUAAAGCCCUGUUGGGGGGGGCGGAACAGCGGACUAACAAACCGCCUUGACUUAACCCCCUGAGGAAGCACCGGCUAACUCUGUGCCAGCAGCCGCCGUAA